GACGAACGCUGGCGGCGUGCUUAACACAUGCAAGUCGAACGGAAAGGUCCUGCUUUUGUGGGGUGCUCGAGUGGCGAACGGGUGAGUAACACGUGAGUAACCUGCCCUUGACUUUGGGAUAACUUCAGGAAACUGGGGCUCAUACCGGAUAGGAUCUCCUGCUGCAUGGGGGGGGUUGGAAAGUUUCGGCGGUUGGGGAUGGACUCGCGGCUUAUCAGCUUGUUGGUGGGGUAGUGGCUUACCAAGGCUUUGACGGGUAGCCGGCCUGAGAGGGUGACCGGCCCCAUUGGGACUGAGAUACGGCCCAGACUCCUACGGGAGGCAGCAGUGGGGAAUAGUGCACACUGGGCGGCAGCCUGAUGCAGCAACGCCGCGUGCGGGAUGACGGCCUUCGGGUUGUAACCCGCUUUCGCCUGUGACGAAGCGUGAGUGACGGUAAUGGGUAAAGAAGCACCGGCUAACUACGUG
Molecule: ribosomal RNA, 468 nt
Filed under: uncultured bacterium
Lineage: Bacteria
Description: partial 16S ribosomal RNA
Rfam family: Bacterial small subunit ribosomal RNA
Source: RNAcentral